This 467-nucleotide ribosomal RNA is filed under the name uncultured bacterium. Its description in RNAcentral is "partial 16S ribosomal RNA". It matches the Rfam family "Bacterial small subunit ribosomal RNA", at positions 29 to 507 of the family's 1533-position model. The record is from RNAcentral.
ACGAACGCUGGCGGCGUGCUUCACACCUGCCAGUCGCACGGAAAGGCCCUGCUUUUGUGGGGUGCUCGAGUGGCGAACGGGCGAGUAACACGUGAGUAACCUGCCCUUGACUUUGGGAUAACUUCAGGAAACUGGGGCUAAUACCGGAUAGGAGCUCCUGCUGCAUGGUGGGGGUUGGAAAGUUUCGGCGGUUGGGGAUGGACUCGCGGCUUAUCAGCUUGUUGGUGGGGUAGUGGCUUACCAAGGCUUUGACGGGUAGCCGGCCUGAGAGGGUGACCGGCCACAUUGGGACUGAGAUACGGCCCAGACUCCUACGGGAGGCAGCAGUGGGGAAUAUUGCACAAUGGGCGGAAGCCUGAUGCAGCAACGCCGCGUGCGGGAUGACGGCCUUCGGGUUGUAAACCGCUUUCGCCUGUGACGAAGCGUGAGUGACGGUAAUGGGUAAAGAAGCACCGGCUAACUACGUG